RNAcentral lists this ribosomal RNA (612 nucleotides) under Escherichia coli. Its description in RNAcentral is "partial 23S ribosomal RNA". It matches the Rfam family "Bacterial large subunit ribosomal RNA", at positions 2269 to 2875 of the family's 2925-position model. Lineage: Bacteria; Pseudomonadati; Pseudomonadota; Gammaproteobacteria; Enterobacterales; Enterobacteriaceae. The record is from RNAcentral.
UUUGACUGGGGCGGUCUCCUCCUAAAGAGUAACGGAGGAGCACGAAGGUUGGCUAAUCCUGGUCGGACAUCAGGAGGUUAGUGCAAUGGCAUAAGCCAGCUUGACUGCGAGCGUGACGGCGCGAGCAGGUGCGAAAGCAGGUCAUAGUGAUCCGGUGGUUCUGAAUGGAAGGGCCAUCGCUCAACGGAUAAAAGGUACUCCGGGGAUAACAGGCUGAUACCGCCCAAGAGUUCAUAUCGACGGCGGUGUUUGGCACCUCGAUGUCGGCUCAUCACAUCCUGGGGCUGAAGUAGGUCCCAAGGGUAUGGCUGUUCGCCAUUUAAAGUGGUACGCGAGCUGGGUUUAGAACGUCGUGAGACAGUUCGGUCCCUAUCUGCCGUGGGCGCUGGAGAACUGAGGGGGGCUGCUCCUAGUACGAGAGGACCGGAGUGGACGCAUCACUGGUGUUCGGGUUGUCAUGCCAAUGGCACUGCCCGGUAGCUAAAUGCGGAAGAGAUAAGUGCUGAAAGCAUCUAAGCACGAAACUUGCCCCGAGAUGAGUUCUCCCUGACUCCUUGAGAGUCCUGAAGGAACGUUGAAGACGACGACGUUGAUAGGCCGGGUGUGUAAGCG